Molecule: ribosomal RNA, 497 nt
Filed under: uncultured bacterium
Lineage: Bacteria
Description: partial 16S ribosomal RNA
Rfam family: Bacterial small subunit ribosomal RNA
Source: RNAcentral
GAUGAACGCUGGCGGCGUGCCUAAUACAUGCAAGUCGAGCGAACAGAUGAGGAGCUUGCUCCUCUGACGUUAGCGGCGGACGGGUGAGUAACACGUGGAUAACCUACCUAUAAGACUGGGAUAACUUCGGGAAAUCGGAGCUAAUACCGGAUAAUAUAUUGAACCGCAUGGUUCAAUAGUGAAAUACGGUUUUGCUGUCACUUAUAGAUGGAUCCGCGCCGCAUUAGCUAGUUGGUAAGGUAACGGAUUACCAAGGCAACGAUGCGUAGCCGACCUGAGAGGGUGAUCGGCCACACUGGAACUGAGACACGGUCCAGACUCCUACGGGAGGCAGCAGUAGGGAAUCUUCCGCAAUGGGCGAAAGCCUGACGGAGCAACGCCGCGUGAGUGAUGAAGGUCUUCGGAUCGUAAAACUCUGUUAUUAGGGAAGAACAAAUGUGUAAGUAACUAUGCACGUCUUGACGGUACCUAAUCAGAAAGCCACGGCUAACUACGUG